GCCCUCUUAUUCUUCACGCGAGAAAUUUUUUUACAUAAAUUUUUCUCAUGUCUAAAAACUUUUUUAUGUCCACAUCUGAUUCUUUUUGAAUUAAAAAUUGGUUGGUUUAAAUUUGAGUUCAAAUGGAUUUGAAUUUGAAUGAAAACCUAGAGUCCAAAUUGAGUUAGACUCUUUUCUUCACGCCACCACCUUUCUCCAUGCAUAAAGUAUUUUUGCAUGAGAUUUUUUAUGCCAUUCUGAUGUUGGUUGACCCCUCUUUGAGUUCAUAAGA
Molecule: long non-coding RNA, 271 nt
Filed under: Elaeis guineensis (African oil palm)
Lineage: Eukaryota; Viridiplantae; Streptophyta; Magnoliopsida; Arecales; Arecaceae
Description: long non-coding RNA (EGUI_LNC041632)
Source: RNAcentral